CCAGACUCCUACGGGAGGCAGCAGUGAGGAAUAUUGGUCAAUGGACGCAAGUCUGAACCAGCCAAGUAGCGUGCAGGAUGACGGCCCUCCGGGUUGUAAACUGCUUUUAGUUGGGAAUAAAAGGGGGCUCGUGAGCCCCGUAUUGUAUGUACCAUCAGAAAAAGGACCGGCUAAUUCCGUGCCAGCAGCCGCGGUAAUACGGAAGGUCCGGGCGUUAUCCGGAUUUAUUGGGUUUAAAGGGAGCGUAGGCCGGCUUUUAAGUCAGCGGUAAAAAUUCGGGGCUCAACCCCGUCCGGCCGUUGAAACUGGAGGCCUUGAGUGGGCGAGAAGAAGGCGGAAUGCGUGGUGUAGCGGUGAAAUGCAUAGAUAUCACGCAGAACUCCGAUUGCGAAGGCAGCAUACCGGCGCCCUACUGACGCUGAGGCACGAAAGCGUGGGUAUCGAACAGGAUUAGAUACCCCGGUAG
RNAcentral lists this ribosomal RNA (466 nucleotides) under uncultured bacterium. RNAcentral describes it as "bacterial SSU rRNA". It matches the Rfam family "Bacterial small subunit ribosomal RNA", at positions 331 to 793 of the family's 1533-position model. The record is from RNAcentral.